RNAcentral lists this long non-coding RNA (2085 nucleotides) under Gallus gallus (chicken). Its description in RNAcentral is "lncRNA (ENSGALG00010027532.1)". The record is from RNAcentral. Lineage: Eukaryota; Metazoa; Chordata; Aves; Galliformes; Phasianidae.
CCUCAUCCCUCACCUCAUCCCUCACCCCUCACCUCACACCUCACAGCACAGCUGAGUCCCCCCUCCUACACAGACCCCCCUCGGUCUGCCGCCAUCACACCACGCACAGUCACCCCUUUCCCCCCCAGUACUGCAGACUGCCAUGAGGUCUCCUCACAGCCUCCCCACGGCGGCUGAGCAGAUCCGCCCAUCCCGCUGUCCGACCCGCAGGCACUGCUGGACUUCUGCCUUGUGUUCUCAAUGCCGCGCCUGCUUUGGGCCCGUUGGAUCCAGAAAGAUGAGCCUCUCUGCACCCGGGAUGGGAAAACACACGUUAUGGUGCUGAGAUGUACGGGCAGCAGGUGGACGGCGACAGUAAUGCCCAGCUUCCCUCUCUGCAGUGACGCAGUGAGUCUGGAAACCCAACUCCCACAAAAUUGCCUUUGGUCCGUGGAAAUGUCUGAGAGCACUUUGGCUGUCUGAGGAACUCCCCGGGCAGCCUCAGUUGUUGUUUGCCAUGUGGGCAGCCUGGCCAUUUGAAUGAAGCCCAAGAAGGACAGGUGGGAUGGAAAGGCCGCGUGCAUUGUGUUCAUCCCCUGCUGCACAGCCACCGCUGGGCCCAUUUUGCACUCUCAUCAGUUCAGACAUGCAAAUAAAGGGUGUGUACCUUUCAUUUGUAUGCUGUAGUUUUAAAUAUGAGCCACACAUGAAAAUUGCAUGAAAAACAUCUUUUCAGGCUAGCAGCAAGCCCUUGGCGUGGAUUAAAGGCAGGGUCACCUUAGCAGCAAGGCCGGAGCUCAGCCCUUCCUCAUCACAAGCUUCUCUCACCCGCAGCGUGAGCUGAUGGACGGAGAGCAGCGCAGUCCCCGUGUCAGACACCGGCUGCUCAGACACAGCACAGCCGAAGGCAGAGCCCAAAAUGCAGGUGGGGCUCUGCAGAGGGAGCCUGGUGAGGAACCGCUGGGCACAUCCACCCAGCAGCUAACGAGGCCUGCCCACCUGGCAGCUGCACAGCCCGAGGGAGAUGGACCUUCCAAAGCAUUCAAAUGGGUUGCCUCCCCGAGACAAGUUUUUCAGGCUUGGGAUUGGAGAGGUUUUCUGAGUGCGCUCCCAGCCCUGGCUGCCAAAACAGAAUGGGAUGCACAAGUGAGAGAGUCAGCGAGCCCCCAGGCCGGGUCAGAGCGGGAUCACUGGGGAACUCUCACAUCCAAUAUUGCAGGGGGGGGAAAAAGGCGUCACAGCUGAAAAUUGGCCCAGAAGAGAAGAGUGGAAGCACAUCAGUGCUGCAGCAGAGAGCUGCCUGGGCUGCAUGCGGAGCGCAGGGGAUGGCGUUAGAGCUGAAAGUUACUUGGAAAUGCUGAUGGAUGAAACUCAAUCUGCCAUAUAAAAGUUUAAUUAGAGCGCUGUUAAACCCAAGCUUUCUGGAAGGGACAAAGGAAACCGGGUUUCUAGAAGAUUCCUUCUUCUCCUGGGACUCCGUAAUAGACCUGGAAACAUGGCUGUGGAAUUUCAUCACCACCCAGAGGACAACCAUCCGGACAGCAUCCCAAGGUUGGGCUCCAGGGCUGCGAGCAGCAGCAGUGUUUUUCCACAUCUCCUUCUGCUCUCACUUAAAAAAGAAACGAGAGCUGGGGGAAACGACAGCAGCUCCCACUCCAAUGGGUGAGAAUUCCCAUUUAAAUCCUUACUCAUCUCCCAAGAACGAGUCCUUAAGCAGAGGGGGGGGGGCAGCGCUCAGCUGCUUGGAAUAGAAUUCCAAUGGUUCGUACAACAAAAAUAAUGAUAAUCUGGUGGAAAAAGAAGUCUUGGCAGGAAGUAAAAUUCGGAAGGGAAGGGAGGGGAGAGGCAGAAGGCUGUAGGAGAUCUGAGGGCUGCAGCAGUCACUUCCAGCAAGAGGCAGAGGGCGGCCCCAGGGUGGCCCAGCGGACACUGGGCAAACGUGGCCAACGUGGUGGAAAUACAGGAAGCAUUUUUCAGAGCAUCCAGGAGACCAAAGACCGCACUCCACAAGCUCCAUUCUUCUCUGGCUCCCUGUUAGCUGUCCUUGACUGCAAAGCGGUGUCUCUAUCCUUUGUAAGAGGGAGAAACCCCACUGGGAAGGAAGCG